UCUCAAAAAAAAAAGAGUUAA
RNAcentral lists this non-coding RNA (21 nucleotides) under Caenorhabditis elegans. Lineage: Eukaryota; Metazoa; Nematoda; Chromadorea; Rhabditida; Rhabditidae. The record is from RNAcentral.